AGCAGAAAACCCCUUCCUGCUGGGGAUGGCGGGCAGCCUCUUCCUGGUUGGGAUGAUUGACAUGAGGGGUGGGGCGGGAGAGCGCCCCUUACAGGACCCCCAUUCCGAUGUAAUGCGGUUUUCUCUUCAUCCAUUUUCCUUUAUAUGUUCUGGCUAAAACUUAUUUUAUUUUUGUUUUAUUUAGUUUGUCCCUCUCAGGAUUUUGUGUAGUCCCUCGGGGCGAGGACCCUCAUUCUGUUGAGGUCAGGCGCGUUCAGGGUGGUAUGGCCGUAGACUCCUUCGGGAGAGGCGCUUCCUGGAGCUUGGGACUUUGCCAGUGAGCAAAAGCAAGGAACAUCUCGCCCUCAUCCCGGUCCGGGAGGCAGACAAUGAAUGGAGCAGUCUAAGAAAUCAGUAAAUGAUUUCUUCUGUUA
Long non-coding RNA from Pteropus alecto (black flying fox), 413 nucleotides. RefSeq lists it as uncharacterized. The record is from RefSeq and is a predicted model, not a curated record. The transcript has 2 exons. NCBI's taxonomy places the organism in Eukaryota, Metazoa, Chordata, Mammalia, Chiroptera, Pteropodidae.